Molecule: ribosomal RNA, 193 nt
Filed under: uncultured bacterium
Lineage: Bacteria
Description: partial 16S ribosomal RNA
Rfam family: Bacterial small subunit ribosomal RNA
Source: RNAcentral
AACUCGCCUACACGAAGCUGGAAUCGCUAGUAAUCGCGGAUCAGCACGCCGCGGUGAAUACGUUCCCGGGCCUGUACACACCGCCCGUCACACCAUGAGAGUCUGUAACACCCAAAGCCGGUGGGAUAACCUUUAUAGGAGUCAGCCGUCUAAGGUAGGACAGAUGAUUAGGGUGAAGUCGUAACAAGGUAUC